GAGUUAAAACUAUUAAUACUCAAGACACAAUUUCAUUCAUCUUCACUUCAGGUUCACCACUGGGGCAAUGAUUUGGUUCAAUCUUUUGAACUAAAAUAUUCAUACACUAUAAGAGUUAUAAAAGUAUACACCUUUAAAAUAUUUUAGUAAUAUUCACAAAAUUAGGCAGCUAUCACUGCUAAUUACAGAACAUCUUCAUAAUCUCAAAAAAGAAAUCACAUGCCCACUUACAGCCAGUUCCUCUUUUCCUCUCCCCAAGACCCUAGCAACCACUCUAUCGCUAUGAAUUUGUCUAUUCUGCAUAUUUUUAAAAAUAUUUUUUAGAUGCAGAUGGACACAAUAAUCUUUAUUUUUAUGUGGUGCUGAGGAUUGAACACAGGGCCCCACGCAUGUGAGGCAAGCACGCUACCACUGAGCUACAACCCCAGUUCAUAUCCUUCAUAUUUUUAUUUGUGUCUAGCUUUUUUCUGUUAGAAAUAUUCCAAGAUUCACUAAAAUUGCAGCAUGAAUCAGUACUUCAGUUCUUUUUUGUGGCUGAAUUGUAUCCCAUGGAAUGGAUAUAUAUUUUGUUUAUCUAUUGGGCACUGGGUUGUUUUCACUUUUGGGGUAUUGUGAAUAAUGCUGCUAGGAAUGUUUUUGUAUACAAGAUUUUGUAUGAAAAUAUUUUCAAUUUUUGGCAUAUACCUGGGAGUGAAAUUGCUGGGAUAUGGUAACUAUAAAUUCAACACUUUGAGGCAACAUCAAAUUGUUUACUCAUGUAACUGUACCAUUUUACAUCCCCACCAGCAAUGUACAAGGGUUUCAAUUUUUCCAUAUCCUUCUCAACACCUGUUAUUUUUUUUUUUUAUUACAGUCAUUCUAUGGGUAUGAGGUAGUAUUUCAUUGUGGUUAGAUUUACAUUUUCCUGAUGACUAAUGAUAUAGAGAAUGUAUUCACAUCCUUAUUGGCUAUUUGUAUAUCUUCUUUGGAGAAAUGUCUAUUCAAGUCCUUGGUCCACUUUUUAAUUGACUAUAUGAGCCAAUUGUUGCAUUAACAUUUGCUUUAAUUAGCUAAGGCUGCCACAAUGAAAUACCACUGGCUGAAUGGCUUAAACAAUAGAAUUUCUGUUCUUACAGUCCUAAAGAUCAGAGUUUAAGAUAGAAAUGAGGGCAGGUUGGUUUGUCUUGAGGCCUCUACCCUUGGCCUGCAGAUGGUCACCUUCUCACUGUGUCCUCAUAUGGCCUUUGCUCUGUGUGCUCAUUGCUGGUAUCUGUGUCUCCCUUUUUGUCUGUCUCUGUCUCUCUCUCAUAUGAUACCAAAUGAACUGGAUACCACCUCAUGCUUACAAUCUCAUUUAACCUUAGUUUCUUCCUUAAGGGCCUUAGCUCCAAAUACAGUCAUAUUGAGGGUUACAGUUUCAACAAAUGAAUUUGAGGACACAUAAUCCAAUCCAUUUUACUGCUGAAUAAAAGCAAAGCCAAGGGAAAAGUCUUGUUCAGUUGUCUAUUUCAUAAUUAUUUGUAAGACUUAACUUCUAUGUAAUGCAAAGCUUAUUUUGUGGUUGUUCAUGAUGAUGAUGAUGAUGAUGAUGAUGACGACGACGACCACUUUGUUGUUUUUUGUUGUGGGACACAUAUUCAGACUGUUUAGAGAGCCUCAGAUUUUCUGUACAGGAAAGUUCUGAUUGUCUAGUAGCUGGUAUUGAAUCUAACUGGGUCGCAAUAGGCUAUGAUGGACAGGAAGGUAAUUUUAACACCAUCUCAUAAUCUGAGACCAUCUCCACCGGGUCAAGUAUGUUAGAAAAGGUAAUGAGAUUGCUAGUGGUGCUUUGACCAGCAAAAUCAAGAGUCUUUUCCAAAAUGACCACUAGCCCUCUCCACAAACUUUCUGUUGGAGCCACAAACACAAAGGCCAUGGAAAAAUGUAAACACAGUAAUAUUUACUGUUAUCUGUGCCUUUUGGCCUCAAAUGUUAAUGCAGAAAAAUCCAUAUUACACAAAAUACUCAUUUUUCCAAACCUCCUUGUACUAGUGUCAGAAAAAAAU
This 2024-nucleotide long non-coding RNA is filed under the name Marmota monax (woodchuck). Lineage: Eukaryota; Metazoa; Chordata; Mammalia; Rodentia; Sciuridae. The record is from RNAcentral.